GAUGAACGCUGGCGGUAUGCUUAACACAUGCAAGUCGAACGGUCACUUCGGUGAUAGUGGCGGACGGGUGAGUAACGCGUGAGAAUCUGUCUUCAGGUCGGGGACAACAGUUAGAAAUGACUGCUAAUACCGGAUGUGCCGUAAGGUGAAAGAUUUAUUGCCUGAAAAAGAGCUCGCGUCAGAUUAGCUAGUAGGUGGUGUAAGAGACUACCUAGGCGACGAUCUGUAGCUGGUCUGAGAGGACGAUCAGCCACACUGGAACUGAGACACGGCCCAGACUCCUACGGGAGGCAGCAGUGGGGAAUUUUGGACAAUGGGCGAAAGCCUGAUCCAGCAAUGCCGCGUGAGUGGAGAAGGCCUCGGUUGUAAAGCUCUUUACCCGGGUAACGAUAAUGACCGUACCGGGACGAAUAAGCCCGGCGUAACUCCGUGCCAGCAGCCGCGGUAAGU
Molecule: ribosomal RNA, 450 nt
Filed under: uncultured bacterium
Lineage: Bacteria
Description: bacterial SSU rRNA
Rfam family: Bacterial small subunit ribosomal RNA
Source: RNAcentral